AGUGAACGCUGGCGGUAGGCCUAACACAUGCAAGUCGAACGGCAGCACAGUAAGAGCUUGCUCUUACGGGUGGCGAGUGGCGGACGGGUGAGGAAUACAUCGGAAUCUACUUUUUCGUGGGGGAUAACGUAGGGAAACUUACGCUAAUACCGCAUACGACCUACGGGUGAAAGCAGGGGAUCUUCGGACCUUGCGCGAUUGAAUGAGCCGAUGUCGGAUUAGCUAGUUGGCGGGGUAAAGGCCCACCAAGGCGACGAUCCGUAGCUGGUCUGAGAGGAUGAUCAGCCACCAUGGAACUGAGAAACGGUCCAGACCCCUACGGGAGGCAGCAGGGGGGAAUAUUGGAAAAGGGGCGCAAGCCUGAUCCAGCCAUACCGGGUGGGUGAAGAAGGCCUUCGGGUUGUAAAGCCCUUUUGUUGGGAAAAAAAAGCAGCAGGUUAAUACCCCGCUGUUCUGACGGUACCAAAAGAAUAAGCCCCGGCUAACUUCGG
RNAcentral lists this ribosomal RNA (491 nucleotides) under uncultured bacterium. RNAcentral's name for it is "partial 16S ribosomal RNA". It matches the Rfam family "Bacterial small subunit ribosomal RNA", at positions 29 to 506 of the family's 1533-position model. The record is from RNAcentral.